This 42552-nucleotide long non-coding RNA is filed under the name Phoenix dactylifera (date palm). RNAcentral's name for it is "long non-coding RNA (PDAC_LNC002267)". Lineage: Eukaryota; Viridiplantae; Streptophyta; Magnoliopsida; Arecales; Arecaceae. The record is from RNAcentral.
GUAGAUGAGUUUUGGCUGGUACAACCACUCUAUUGUCAACUUCUAAUAAACGUGAUUGACCCAAUUCUGGAUCAUCUUCUGGAAUCGUAUAACUGUCAAAAGUGAGUGACUGUUCAUCGGAACUGUUAUAGUCCGAAUACUCAUAAGGUUGGGUCGACGCCCGCCUCCCCCCAAACUUGACUUGCAAGUUUUCCCGCAAAAAGCUCUCCAACAAGCCUCAUCUCUCAUUCAACAACAGAUUGCCCCAAAAUUCAUAAACCCUGGUUGCCCAACCAUUGAAAUAAAAAUAGGAGAGACGAUCAUCCAGAGAGCUCUAUUAGAUUUAGGAGCCAGUGUGAACCUACUUUCCUACUAUGUGUACCAAAAGUUAGGUUUGGAAGAAUUAAAGCCUACAAAUAUUAUCCUUUCCUUAGCAGAUAGGACAGUGAAGUACCCUAAGGGGAUUGUAGAGGAUGUAAUAGUGAAAGUAAACCAGUUUUACUAUCCUGUAGACUUCGUUAUCCUUGAGACUGAACCUGCAAUACAUCCAGACAGUCACACACCUAUAAUUUUAGGUAGACCUUUCUUAGCCACAGCAAAUGUUGUGAUCAACUGUCGAAAUGGUAUGCUGAAGUUAUCUUUUGGCAACAUGAAAGUCGAGCUUAAUGUCUUCAAUAUAAGUAAACAACCACCAAGCGAUGAAGAAAUCAAUGAAGUUGACAUGAUUGAAAGUCUGGUUCAGGAGACUUUCUUACAAACAUAUAGUAAGGAUCCUUUAGAGGCUUACCUUGUCCAUUCCGAGGAAGGGGUCAAGCAUGCGCCCCUUAGUUCUGUUCCCCUUAUAAGUAUAGAUCGUCAUCAGCCGACUGUUCUUCAUCGGACUCUUCCAAAACCAUUCUUAGAUAAUGGUUGAAAAAAAAGGGGAUCUACAUUUUGUCUGGCUGAAGACAUAAAACUUAGCGCUCUUGAGAGACAACCCAACAUAUAAAUAUUAAAAAAUAAUAACAAUAUAUAUAUAUAAAAAUUUACUAACAUGCAGGUUUGGGGGUUUUUGGCCCCAAUUGUCACUUUACCCACCCAUAUCAGGUAACUUCUCCUCUGUCCUAUUACUGCAUUAAAUUUUCUUUAACAUUGAGGACAAUGUUAGAUUUAGGUAUGGGGUUGAGAAUAUUUUUGAUUUUUUAUGCAAAAAAAAUUAAAAUUAAAAUUAAAAAAAGGGAGUUCAAAUUUUUAACUCAAACUCGAAUCUUUUUGGCUGUACAAACUAGAAAUUGCUUUGACAAUNNNNNNNNNNNNNNNNNNNNNNNNNNNNNNNNNNNNNNNNNNNNNNNNNNNNNNNNNNNNNNNNNNNNNNNNNNNNNNNNNNNGAUUCAGUUUUCAAAACAUUGCAUUGCAUGGGGCCACACAAGGCAUUUGAAGCUGAAUACUUCUCUUCCAGAAACAAUUGCAUGUGACCUCCACCGGUUCUGGACCCACAAAUCUCUCUCUCAGCUACUCAUAACUAUACGAGCCCCACAGGCCACAGCUCCCCAACCAAAUUACGCAUGACCUCUAUCACUCUCCAGGCUCCAGCCUACCGAACCCACCUAAUCUCCAUAACCAUACGUGCUCUCCAAUUAAUUGACACGUGACCGCCAUUAGCAUCAUGGGCUCGAUCCAGCAGCCUAAAGAUCUCCCCCAUUGAAGUUGUUAGGUAGAGUACUUCAACCCAAAAAAAAAGCUAAAAGAUAAACCAGUCCGGCAGCUAGCUGCGGGCUUAUCAUAGUUUCCAGCGCAACAACCAAGAGGCAGUUUUGGGCUGACUCAAACUCUUUUCCUUCUUUUUAUUAAACUAAUUAAACACAAGCUUCUUAAUAUAUGACUUCUUCUACUGAUAUUAAUUUUCCUUAUAAACAUUGGAGGUUGCCGUUAUCAUGGAGAGUGAAGCGACAUAUUAAGUUUCAAGCAAAUAAGAAAGGUUUCCGUGGUGGUGCGUUGCUAUAUCCCAGAUACUGAACCCCCUGCAGACUGUUGCUUAUCAUUGUAACUAAAGAAAUCAACGAAUUCCAUUAUUUUCCAUUGUAAAGUAACAUUUUCCUGACAACUUUAGUUUUGUAUUAUAUUUCAUUGGUUAUCAUGAACUAUUAUAAAGAAAAAUAAUAUAUUAUCACAGCUCAGAUAUUUAAACGUUAUUCUAUCAUAUGCAUACGAAAUUUUGAAUCAGGAAAAUAUACGUUAUUAGAUCAACAGUGUGUGUAUCGUAUAAUUCCAUAGGCUGCAACAUAAUCCCAUGCCAAAAAAAAUGUACUUCCUAACCCAUCCAAUCCCCGCCCCUUUUUUCACCCAACACCAAAAAAAUAAUUUGAUUUUUUAAAAAAAAUAAAUAUUACUGAAAAUUUUAUAAAGAUGUCAUUUUAAGUUACUAUCAUUUUCGUUGGCCAUACAGUUUGAAGAAGCUAUUAGCAGUAGAGCUUUUGAAAGUAGAGCUUUUUGAAAUAGAGUUUUUAUAAAAAGUUGUUUACUCUUUGGUAACUACAUUUCUAAAGUAUUGUGGCACUUUAACAUAUUUUGGCAAACAAACUGAGAAAGUAUUUUUGUAUGAUAAAAUUACCAUAAAGGAUAUUGCAUAGUAUAUACAACAGAACAUAAUAAAAUAUAACAUAUAUUAAUACAUAAAUAUAUGAUAUAGUACAAUAUUAUUGUAAUAUNNNNNNNNNNNNNNNNNNNNNNNNNNNNNNNNNNNNNNNNNNNNNNNNNNNNNNNNNNNNNNNNNNNNNNNNNNNNNNNNNNNNNNNNNNNNNNNNNNNNNNNNNNNNNNNNNNNNNNNNNNNNNAGUAUAAUAUUAUGUUUUCUCAAAGUAAAUUUUGACUGUAGUGUCGGAGAGGGAGGAUAUACCGGAGGCGUCGGCUUCAUUAUCAGGGACCACGAGGCUCGACUGAGUGUAGCGGAAGGCUGGCGGAUCUUUGAAAAAGCUAAAAUAACUUUUCAAAAUUUUUACCGAACUGUCUUUUUUCAAAAGUACUUUUGGAGGAUCAGAAAGUGUUUUUUGACCCUCCAAAAGCUUUCCUAAACGAGGCCUUUGUCCUAGCAACACGAAAUAGCUUUUAGGCAUUGGUAUCUCACUCGGGACAUGCACCCGGCGAUAAUAUUUAAGACAUAUUUAUCAAACUAUUUGAAGAUGUAAUCUCCUCAAGACGUGAGGGUCACCCCUCAUCCGGCUCUCUGCAGGGGAAUCUCCACUCACUGCCUGACCCACUAUCAUGUAUGUCUAUGGCCAUGCCCAGAAUACUUUUUUUUUUGGGAAAAACAAAAUCCUUCUACACAUCCCCUCUCUCCUCCCUGACCCCCCACCACCUCAACCUCUCGUUCCUCUCUCUACCAACUAUCGGAUCCUCAUCGAGCUCCACGUGCUCAAGAUGAAACUGACCCAUUCCGACCUGCCCCUCACAUCUCGUCUUUUCUCGAUCGCUAGAUUGGCAGGAAUAAUGGAGGAGGGUUACGUGAGGAUCGUGACGGCGAGGAAGUUGAGAUACUUCCUCUUUUCUCAAGAGUAAAGAUGUGCAAACAAACGGCAUAGAACAAUUUAUUAAUAGCCUAUCCACUCGUCACUGAUGUUGUGCUCUUGUUUAUCCUACGAGACGACUAUAAUAAUAAUAUACCAAGAUUGAUAUAAUCAGCAUAGAACAAAUCAUAUAUGAACACAUCUGUCUCCUUUCAAGAAAAAGAAAAUGUAUGACUCCCUACAUCAGUCCACCACCAAGACAUACGGAGCGGGGUCAGUUGAGAAGGCCCGUGAUUAUGGAUGUUGCUGCAAUCAAAAUCCAGCCUAACAGGUUGGACGAGCUACUAUAUCUGCUUUAGAGUUAAAUCUCCAAUCUACAAACAAAAAAAAACACGGAAGGUUGCCGAAUUUGAACUGAUGGAGAUCAUCCAAUACCUAAGUCAAGCCAAGCCUUUAGAAAAUACUGAAAAUUUGAGAAAGCUAUGAAUGAAAGCAAGAAUAGCGUAGCAUAAGAAUAUCUGAAGGUCUCCUAAAUUUGAUAUAGAUAGGAAUGAGAGUGUAAAAUAGUUAUCCAAAAAAGUCAGGCACAUUGUAACCGCUGGUUGUUCAGUAACCGUCUGGUCGUGUAAUAACUGCUUAACAUGCAAAACAAGUUGUAAUCAUCCUGCAACGUGCCUCAUAAGUGUGUAGGGCUAUAAUUAUCCUUUCAAUGGAUUUUAAUCGCCUUAAAUGCGCUUUGAAUCGAAGACAUAUAGCUCGUAGCUAUUGGUUGGCCGGUCUAAUCGAAUGCUCUAGUCCGUAGCUUGACCGAUUGCUCUGGUAGACAACUUGAUCGAGUUUUUCUUCAUAGUGUCACAAACCAAUGAAUCUAGGCCACAUCACUUGCCUCCUACAUUCAAGUUCAAGCCAUGUUACUUGGUUUGGACCAAAGAAGUAGUUACAUUGUCCAAACCAAACCACCAAAAGGGUACACCGUCUUAACUUGGGUCAGGUCAAGAAAUUUCUGGAAAGCGGUAUAAAAUGUCCAAUGACCUUCUCGAGGCAAAACCAGGCAGGAUUUUCAACACGCCAAUUAGACUUCUUCAGGUGAUUUAAAAGGGUGAUCCGAGAAAUCAUCCAGAGGCAAAUACAGAGCUAAUACGUGGUGGCAGAUUGGGUCUGGUAGUUGUCUGUCACUUUGAUUGAAGCAUUCUAACCUUCUAUAUAAGGGAGUCGAAGAACCUCGCCUCCGGCUUAUUCACCUGCUCGGUUGCUCGAAGUCCUCUUUUAAUUCCCUCAUGUUAGCUCGGUAUUUGCAUCCGAAUGAUUGCCCAGAUCACCCUUUUAAAUUGCCUUGAAAAGCCUAACACACCGAAAAUCCCACCAGUGGAUAUUUUAUACUACUUUCUUGAAACUUCGACCAAAGUCCUGUGGGUGUACCCUUUUGGUGGUUCAGCUUAGACAAUGCGACUAUUUCUUUCGCCCAAACCAAGAAAAAUAGCUCGAACUCAAAAGUGAAGAGCAAGUGAUGUGGCUUGAAUUCGUUGACUUAUAAAUACCAAGCAAAGGAGUCGGCCAAGCUACCAACCAAAGCAUUCGACCGAGCAACUGACUAGAGCAUUUGAUCAAAUCGGUCGACCAGCAGCAACAAGCCACAUGUUUUCGAUUCAAAGCGCAUUUAAGACAGUUAAAGUCCAUUAAAAGAAUAAUUAUAGCCCUACGCACUUAUAAGGCAUGUUGCAGAACAGUUACAACUCGUCUCUCAUUUUAAGCAGUUAUUACACGGACAGACAAUUACUGCACGGCCAACAGUUACAAUGUGCCUGAUUUUUUUAGGUAACCGUUCUAUACUCUCAUCCCUCUAUAUAUCAAACCUAGAGAAUCUUCAGAUACGCUUAUGCUACGUCACUCUUGCCUACUCCACUCGUAGCUUUCUCAAAUCUCCACUAUUUCCUAAAGGCUUCACCUAGCUUAAGCAUCGAGAGAUCUCCCGCCAGAACAAAUUCGGCAAUCUUCAAUGUUCGCUUUCUUGUUUGCAAGUCGGACAUUUGACUUCAAGCAAGAUAGUUCGUCCAAGCCCCCAUAAGCAGCCACAUCCUCCUCUCCCUCCACCAUCUCGCCCUCCCCAUGGACGCCCCCACCUACCCCCUUCGCAUCUUCGUCGACUUUGACUCCUCCCGAGACAAUGACAUGAGAGACCUGAAACCGGCAUCUAUGGUUGGCAAGCGACAGGGGCACAAACUCCCCUGCCAUCGGGUUCAGUUUCAAGAGAAGCUAUUCCAAAUCCCUCGUCUCCUGCUUAAACCCUUCAAAGGACGGGGAGGCCACCAAUAGGCUCUGCCAUCCAUACCACUAACUAGCAAGCAUCCAUAUCCUUGGGGCCAUCGCGCCGAAGUCAUGGCUAGAGGACCCCACAUUCGCCCCGGGGCGGGGUCUACGAGGAGAGGUUCCCAAGAUAAGAGAGGUGUGACGCACAUGGUCUGGUGGUCUCUGGCUAAGAAAUAUCUAAAACUGGAUGGUCAGCUGGUGUAGGGCACACGAGAAUCGAAAAAACUCCUCAGACUAAGCCUGAGGGAUGGCUUCUGGAAUUGGCCAUGCAAUUGGCCACAGUAAGCAUUGUUGCUGCUAAGGCCUGCAUGUUGGGUCCACCUUAUCGUGGAAAUUGAGAAUCUUGAUGAGGAGAGGUCCCUUUUAUGCCAUCCACUGGAGCAUCUACAAGAGGUGCCACAGCAAGUUGUUGCUAGGACUGGGAGGAGGAGUCAUUUUUCUUCCCCUUCUCCUUCCAUGCAUCAGCCUCCCUCCCCUUGGAUCUCUUUUUCUCCUGCCAGAAUUAGAAUUUCUGAAACCCUAGAUUUUGGCGAAGAAGAGAGGAGAGAUUUAUCCACAUCAUAAUCAUUUUGUUAAAAAUAAAUCCACAACAUAUAACUAUCUCCACAACACCUUCCACAUAGGCACCGUCGGCGAGCUCUGACCCAGUUGGUAGGAAGGUGGACAACAUUGCAUAAAUCUAAAAAAUACAUGAUUAACACUACAACAAUUAAACAUGUAGCAGGAUAUUUGCAAAUUCAUGUUAAAUGCAGGAAAUUUUUUUUUUUAGGCUUAUAAAAUUUUUAUGAUAUUCUCAAACAAAUUUUCCAAUAAAAAAGGGGAGAAAAAAAUCUAAAAUGGGUCCAAAGACUAUCUAUAGCAAUUUUGUUUAACUAAAUCUCUUUCAAGCUAGUUUUCCCACCUUCAAAAUGGAUGCUGUUUAGCUCCAAAGGAUGGUCUGCAUGGUGGAUGCCCAAAGCUGAGAUCUUGCAAAUGAAUCAUUUGCGAGAAGCAAACCAGUUCACAAUGCCUUCACAUUAUAGUGGAUAUUACCGUAGUAAGGAGACCAAGUAACUCACUAUUGUAUAUUACUAGCGUAUAACCCACGUGAGAUAUGAGAUAUUAUCAUUUUUUUCAAUUAUUCUUAAAAUAUAAUAUAAUAAAUUAUAAUUAUAAAGGUUUCCAUAAUAAAAUUUCUAUUGUUUACUAAACAAUUAAUUUUGAUAAUAGUUGAACAUAAACUCUAAUAACUAAUAUCGACAUCAUUAAUAUCAAUGACACUAAUACUAACCUCGUGCGAUGGCAAGAUAUGAUCAUUUCUCCAGCGACCAAUUUGUCUGUUGGAGAGUAUCUAUUCAAUUGAUUGGCACAUGUUAUCGACAUCAAUCAAUUUGUUAGUGCCCCUCAUUGUGUUCAUUAUGCUACCAUCCUAUACUCUCUCCGGUACCUCCAUAGGACUCGUUGCUUCUCCUCCACUUUGAUUCUAUUUACAGCUUCAUACUAGAACUGCACAUGCCAUAUCAUACCAUACCAAAACAAAAUUUAUAAAAAAAAUAUGAAAAAUUAGAAAAACAAUUUUUUAAAUUUUAAAAAGAAAGGAUUUGACAAAUCUCAUGGCGGCCCAAUGCUAGUACUAUCCUGACAAUGUACAUGCCAGGUGGCAUAGGCCCACAUAUAAAACCUUGGCCUAAAUCGGACUUUUAGCAAUACUUGUAGCUUACAUAAUUUUCCAUUAUAGUUGUACUUUUUCCUCCAAAUGAGUAUGUAUGUUGACAACGUACAAAUAGAUCCUAGACAUUCAUCAACAAAGUUAGUCCGACUUUUCACUAGCAUUCAUCAACAAAGUUACUCAUGUCAGCUUUUUAUGUGAGGUCCUAAAAAUCUGUAAUACCAUAAAAGAUUAGGCUCCACACCUAUUUGAUUUGCCUGAGCCUCUAUAGACUUUCCCUCGAAGAUCUAUAUUUCUUCAUGUUGGAAUCCUCUGGCUACAGUCUCAUAGUUCAUUGCCCUGUCCUCUUCCAUUUUAGUACAUACAGCACAUCAUUGAUAUGCGUCCUUUCCUUGCAUCAUCACCGAAAAUUGAAGAAGCUGAUUUAAUUGUAAAGUGACGAUAAGUUGUAUCAUCCCCGAGAAUUGUUCCCUAAAUGUCGGUGCAAUGUAAAUAUCUCUUGCACUAUACUGAAUGAGAAUGUGAUGAGUCAAUUAGUGCCCAAAAGGAAGAUGACACUAAAGGUUUUCCAAUGGUAAAUAUAACAUUUUCAUCAUCCUUAAUCCUACAAAGGCCUCCAAGUCACCAUACCUCACAAGUAGCGCAAAAGCUCCAGCAUAGCCUGAACCGAACAGACUAGAAAGGGUCAUUUCUUUUGACAUUAAACUUGCUCGUCAGCCUCAUCUUUAUGGAACACAAGAUAGCAGCUCACUCUCUUCUUAUUUUUCUUGAUUAGUUAUCCAAAUCUCUCACAAGAAACCCUUUUUUUGUUCAAUUCAGUGGCUGAAGGAUGAGUUCUUCCUUAACUUGUUUUGACUGACUGACUAGAAAGUUACCUGACUCCUCAUUUCAAGUUUGGAAUGCGAUUGACCUUUAUAUCGUCUACCUCCUUCUCACAUGAGAAAUCGAAUUCGAUUUUGGCCAACCAGCAGAAACUUGAGCAAAGGCAACUUCCAAGUCAACAGGCACUAGCUUGACAGCCCGACCUCUCUUAGGAAUAGCCAAUGCCUUUCUUGAUUGGAGAGGUUCUCUUUGGUGGAGAAACUAUGAGCUUUUUGAAAAUGGUUGGAAAAAAAUAAAUGAAAUUUAAUGAGAGAGAUUCUAAAGAAUGUCCCAUCCCCCGCUUCCUUUUCCUACUUUAUUCUUAUAGAUGUGCACUUCUCUAUCUCCUUUACUUGUUUUUAUCAUUUGCUGCUCUUUUUUCUUCUCAGUUAUACAGAAAUUAUUAGUUGAAUCUGAAAUAAGCAUUAAAAAAAAAUAACUGAAUGAAUCGUUUAGUAAUUCUUUUCCUAAGAAAUCAUAAGGUAUGGUUUGUCAUUGCUUAGGUCCAAUAGCCUCUAUUUUCAAAGAAAAAAAAAAUUAUCCAAGUCAUGCUUGUACAAAUAUAUAAGAACCAUAUAAAGCACCACUCAACUCAGACCAAACUUCUGUUUCUAGUAGCUCUAUCUUUAUAUAAGAUUGUUAUGAGAAGAUGUUGAGUUCAUACAGAAUAUACAACUCAACUCAACUAAAACUUAAUCCCAAACUAGUUGGGGUUGACUAUAUGAAUCCUUUUCUACCAUUCCGCUCGUUUUAGGGCCAUACUUUCUGAGAGAUGUCGAGAUACCAAGUCCUUCCUUACUACUUCAUCCCAUAUGAUUUUCAGUCUACUUCUACUCCUCUUUUUUGCUAUAUGUAUCAAAUCACUCAUUAGUAUUGAUGCAUCCCUCAGCCUAUGUUGUAUAUAUCCUAACCAUCUAAGUCAUCCUUCUCUUAAUUUAUCCCUAACUGGUGCUAACUCCACCAUUUUAGCAGUAAUGCUCAAACAUAUAUUGACUAAACAAUAAUGUUGUUAUGUAAAUAGUAAGAAAGUGGCCAGACAAAAGAUAAAUGGAAAAGAAGUGGAUAAGCAUGUAGCUGCAUGACCACAAACCUGCUUUGCCGCUAGUGUGAUGAUUAUCUAUUUGCUGGAACAGUAAAUGAGCCUUGAGAAGGAAUGAGUCCACUUUGUGCUGGGUAUCUCAGAGAUGACACUACAAAUGAAAUGCCAAUUCACCAUGUUAAACAUUAGUUAAUAUAUAAAAGCAAACAAAACAAGAAAAGAUUGCACAAACAUCUAUAUCAAUGAGUCCUGACUGAACCUGAAAGCAAGCUAGCCAAUGAAUCAUGAUAUUCAACUCCUCCUGCAGUCACUAUCCUGCUCGAUGAACUUGCAUCUUUUCUCUUUUGAAUUCUUUCUGCUUCAUCCUGAAGUUCUUGCUGCUGCAUCUUUAUUUGUGCUUCAAAAACCCAAUGUUUUUCCUGCACAAUCCCGGAAAACCACAUGAAUGAAAGUCUCAUCUCCUUACCACCGUAAACAACAACAGUAAAACAUUUAUUCUUUCAAUUAAUAAGUAUAUUCAUUGAUGAACAUGACAUACAGGACCUUAUAAGUAAAAAUAGAAACCAAUUAUCUACGAACAACAAUUCCAGCUCCUAAUAGAAAAAUAAAAUGACCACCAACCAUGGCAAACUUGCAACUUGUUCCAAGCCCUUUUCCAUCUUUGACCUCACAACUCAAUAUUCCACAGUGUAGUUUCAGGUUUCGCAAAAGGGACACCUAAUAGUGUUAAGAAGAAAAGCUUUCUUUCUUUUUAACGAAAUAACAAACCAAAUUCAACGGAGCAAAAUAACCAAAAAGGAUGCUUUGUCUGGCAAGUAGAAUGAGGUGACUUCAUCUGCAAAAAACACUCUGCAAUGAGGAUAACAAUUUGAAACAGUUAAAAAAGACAAAAAGAAUAUGUAUACGAACAAAAGGGUCCAUAAAAUAAUUUACUGCCUCAAAGCCAAACGAUGGUACCUGUGUAUAUAACUUUCUUGCAACACCAUGAGCGAUUUAGUCUCGUACAAUACUAGAAAAUAAAUUUAAAUAUAAGAUUAGAAUGGUGUGAUGAAUUCAAUCACGCAGAUAUCAUAACAAGAUAAAUAAGAGACUCUUUUUUUCUUUUUUAUCAAGACUUGAUUACCAAUAACAAUAAUCGCAUCAUGAAUAAAAGAUCAAGGAUUAGAUAGCAGAAACGGAUGAAGAGAGAUCUGACCAGAAAGCAGAUGGGACACUCCUCAAGAUCGAGACUGCUCUCCUCUUCCAGAUUGGAGUCGAGAAUGAGCUUCCAGAGCUUCCUGGGAUCGACGUCCCGAUGCUGGUAAAGCCCCUGCGGCCUCGCGUACUUCUCAUCCACCACCGGUCUCCUCCCCCCAAUCUUAUUCCCCAUCACAAAAGAGAACAAGAACCCCCUUCGCACCCUCCCUCACUCCUGGAAUUCCCAAGCCAGCAACUCCAUCCCCCUCCCUCACUAAUGGAAUUCCCAAGCCAUUUCCGCACCGCANNNNNNNNNNNNNNNNNNNNNNNNNNNNNNNNNNNNNNNNNNNNNNNNNNNNNNNNNNNNNNNNNNNNNNNNNNNNNNNNNNNNNNNNNNNNNNNNNNNNNNNNNNNNNNNNNNNNNNNNNNNNNNNNNNNNNNNNNNNNNNNNNNNNNNNNNNNNNNNNNNNNNNNNNNCCUCAGAUCUAACCAAAAGACUUCGCUGAGAUCGGAAACCAGAAUGGAACAAGAAUCUUGAGAUAAAGAAGAGAGGAAGAAGAAGAGGAAGACCAAGAAACCAUAAAUCUUGAACGGAUCGAGCUCCGUCGCCAUGAGAACGAGGGAGAAGAGGAGAGAUCGAGAGACAGCUUCGGUGCCUCGUCGUUGCCGGAAAAGGAUGGGAGACACCGGAGGGGAACGGAGGACCAUCGGCAGCGAUCGGUGAUCCUCGUACGCGAUUCUUGGAAGCACCAGAAGGAUCGGGAAUGAGAGGGAUCGAGACACACAUUUACGGACCGUUCUUCGGUUUCAGAGCAUUCAGAAGCAGAAGCUCGCGCUUUCUCUCUUGCCUCUCAAUUCUGUGUAGUUUUCUCUUCGUGAAGGGGUUUUAACUUGUCCAAACCCUUGAAACCCUCCUCCACAGUUAUGUCGAGCUGUAUCUUUUGCUUCUGCCGGCCGUACCCAGCCGUUAUACAUAAAAAAAAAAGUUUAACUUGUUCGUGUUUUAUAUAUGGGGGAGAAAUGGGGAUUGCUGCCAUUUAUGUCGCUUUGUUCCUCUCUCUUUAUACGCCGAUUGGUACCGCAGCCGAGAAAAAUAGAAUUUGGACCGGAGUCACCGGACCAGACCGGUCUGAUCUGAUCCGUCACUUUAAUGGUUAUUUUAAAGAGAAUUUUACAUGUCUUGGAAAAAGAAAAUUGAAUGUAUAACCGGAUGAUUUUUUUAAACAACAUCAAUCUCAAAAAUAACUACCGAUUCUACGAUGAUUAGCAAGUACAUAUCCAAGCCUCUCAAUGAAUAAACAAUUUGCAUGAUAAUUUGAAAAAAAAUAUUUUUAUAUCUAAAUUUUUGUUUUCGGGCAAACCAAUACCAGUGGUAGAGAGUGAAGAUCAUGUGCUUAGCUUAGAUAGUUGUUUGUUCGUCCUAAUAAAUCAGACUGCCAUAAUAAAAUUCACUAUAUAAUGCAUCAUAGUAAUUUGUGAAUGACAUAUAUUAAUGAAUGUAAGGAAAUGCAUUGGAAUACCAAUUUCUCUUCAAUUUGAAAAGUUAUAAAAGAAAAAACAAGAUUUGGUGGAUAUUUCAAAUUUUAAUGAAAGGCAUAUACAAUAUAUAGAUAAAUAUAUAUUCAUUUAAUAUUCUUUAUUCUUGUUGAACAAUAAUUGAUCGUAAAGAUUUGUGCAAAAAUCUAGGUCUUUUAGGGUAUAUAAUAUAUCUGAAUAUUCCAACACAAAGAUUCAUUCAUAUAUUGAUUUUUAAGGAUUCCAUUCAUAAUAUUGAUUUUUGACAAAGGCUAUUAUAAAAAGUUUGGAAGUCAGCAUAUGCAAAAAAAAAAUUACUUACUUAUUUUAAAGGUGCAAAAUCUUUGCAUCCAUUAGUGCUAGUAUGGCAGCGAGUAAGCAGGCAUCGUCUUAAUUAAGAUAAUAGUUAGCCCAAAUUCCUCAACUUAAAGCGUGCAAUGGGUUAAAAAUAAUUCAAUUCUGAGUACCGACAUUCACAUGAUCUUUCUCCAUUCAUAUCUAAAUUCCAUCGCAUUUAUCAAUGUCCAAGUGUGGGAUCAUGUGGCCAACAUUGCAAAGGAUUCCAUAGAAUUGUGCUACUAAUUAUGCAUAGUUGCUUCAAAUCACUUCUUAUUCAUAAGCUGGUCUAUUCGAUAUUGAAUUCACCAUCUACACAAAAAACAAACAUGUUCUUCUCUACUUAAUAUAUAGAUGCAGUAAAUGUAUAAGGCCCCAUUUGGGGGAGCUUUUGAAGGCCAAAAAGCACUUUCUAACCCUUCAAAAGCACUUUUGGAUAAAAAAGGAUGUUUGGUAAAAAUUUCGAAAAGCUGUUUUAGCUUUUUCAAAUCAUAAACUAGGUUCUAUGAUUUGAAAAUUAUGACAAAUAACUCAAAAAUCAACUUAGAAACUUGAAUAAGUUAUGACAUGUUUGAAGAAAAGGUAAAAUCAUAAAACACAUCAUUUAAUAAGCUGCAAUUAAUUAAUCAUAAAGUGUCCAUAUAAAAACUAAUAAAUACAAUCUCACACAUGUGCACACUAUUUUUAAUCAUAGUAAAUGGAAGACUUCAUUAUAUUAUUUUCAUGAUUGUGUAUAACACCACUUUUAUAGAUAGGUAAGUACUAACUAUUUUAUUAUUUCAUGAUUACCCCUCCCAAAGAGAGAAAAGCUACCUUAUUUUUCAGCUAUAAUGAAUUUGCUACAAAUCUUAUCAAGAUUUUAGAAGAAAAAAAAUAGAAUGAAUUGAGUUGUUAACGUGUUACAUAAAAUGUAAAAUGCUUAUUGAGGUGAGCACAACCUACCGAUCCUUUAUAAAUGACUGAUCUACUAGUUCAUCAAAAGUAUAGAUCAUUUCAAGUUAAGCAAGCUUUGCAUGACCUGAUUACAAAUCUUAUCAAGAUUUUAGAAGAAAAAUAUAAAAGUAGACACCCCACUUCGGCAUCCUAUGGACAAUUAGGGAGUGGUACAUAUGCGAUGCCCCAAAACUUGAGGGAAGGCCUAAAAUGACACCCAAAUCAUGCAUAAUUCAUCAUGCUUCUUCAUCCUUGAAUCAUGGGCCAUCCAAAGGUAAUUAAGCUCUUGCCAUGGAACAUUUGGAAACCAGGCCUUUGCCAUUAGAGUGUUCCAAGGACUAUAUCUCUCCAUCUCAUCAUUAGGCACCCACCUUUAGGUUCAAAAAUUCAAGAUCGGCACUUUCUCAAUGGCCUUCAAUAUUGUUGAAUUAUGCAAUGACUCUCUAGCAUCUAAGUAGCAGAGCUCUACUAUCCGGAUGUUCCAAUAAUAGGUCUCUACCAUUGGAUUGUUUAGACGGUAUCAUUCUAUUGGCAGAUAAUCUUUCUAGCACAUUUUUCUAUAUGCACUAGAAUUAAAGGUGGCAAAGCUUAUCCAUUUAAUCUGUUUAACUUGUUUUAACUCAUUGUAAAUUGGAUUAAAUUAUUUAUUUAAUAAAAUGAUCAAAUUCAAAUCUGAAUUUUUAACCUGUUUAAUAAAUAAGUCUAGUUUGAGUUGAUAUAUUUUUUAUCUGUCCUAUGUCCUAUCCGACUUAUAGUUUGUCCGACCCAUCCCGAUUGCCACCUCUAAUUAGAAUUCCAAUUUUUGAACGAGUUAGCUUCAUCUGUGCAAGCAGCCUAUGUCAAUAGCCCUCCAUCCCUCCCAUCGAGGACCAUCGAUCACUUACCUAGCAUAUAUUCUAUAUCAAAAUUCAAAACGAUGGGAAAUCUUAACAAAGCUAUGCUGCGGUGGUGCAAAGGAGGGAGGAGUGGUUGGGUUAUUCUCUCUCUCUUUUCGCUCCCCCCUCUCUCUUUCAUAUGCUUCACAUUUUUCUCCUAUGCAUGCAUGAUGCAUGCACCAAGCAUUUUCAUCUACCUACCUUUCUUAAAAUGUUCUUUUUUAAUGGGAAGAGCGAGUCUUUCAAACUCAUUUCGUUCUCACUAAUUCCUUUCGGUACAUAUCAAUUCAUAUAUGCAUUGAUCAGUUUAUUACACUUCGUAUAAUCUAAUUUCAAAUUCCUUUUAUUCUCCCAAUUUUCAGUUGUUCCAUCCCCAAAGGCUCUUGGGUUGAGCAUGCUCUGACUCGGGAAGAACCCACAAACACGUCGUCCGCAAUAGAGGGUACCUCAGCAGUCAAGGGUCAAAUGGAAAUCACUCGAUUUCAAUGGAGAAGUGGGACCCAAUACCAAAGUCAAACAUAAAACAAGGCACCAACUCGCUAUGAAGAGCAGAAGGCAGAACACCAGUUCCGACUUUUAUAGUUUUGGCCAACCUAUCUGACUUUGACUUGCAUAGGAAAGUCCUAUAAGCCUGCUCAAUUCUUCUCCGUUCUCUCUUUAAAAAGAAUGAAGCUAGAACCGAAAUCAACCAAAAAUCAAAAUAUAUUUAUCAAUUCUAAUUUCAUCAAGUAAAUGAUUAGAUAAAAUUUCAAUUAGAGAUUGAACAAUUCUCCGAUCGAAUGUAGAUUGCUUGAUUGGAAGAUUUGACUACGACAAAUGGAUUUUAUAAAAUCUUAAAAAGUGGUGUGCAUAUGAAAAAACCACUUGUCAAAACUCUUCCAUAAAAAAUCGAGAGUAAUGCUGUGACAUUCAACCCUCAUACCAAGAUAAGCCUCUUCGUUGCUAGUAUACCAUAUAACAAAAGGGAUUGAUGCAAAUUGUUGGGUUAGCACAAUGAGAGUCUAUGAUGUAAAACUCUAAUCCUUUUUUGACAUAUAGCAAUGAAAUUUUGGGUUUCAAGUUUGGGACCCAUGGCAUUUUUAAAAUAUUAAAUAUGUUCGCUGGAAUUUAACACGUGCGAUGCAUGCAUGUGGACAACUCAUUUAUGCAUGUGGACUUUUUUUUUCUUGGUACAUGGUUCAGACUUUUCUUUAACUUUUCCACAAGUAUAAUAGUUGAAUAGUUUUUCUUUUAAAACUUUCGAACUUCUCACUUAAUUCUUAUUUUUUUUCACAUGAACCAACAAUUGAUGCUUAGUAGCGUGCAUUUAAUAUAACAGAAGAUAGCAUUGUGUGGGAUCCCUUUUCACGCAACAUUUAAUACAACAAUGAUGAAUGAUGCAACGAAUGCAGCUUUUUUUUUUAUCAAACCGGGCUUUUAUGUCCCUUUAUAAUUUAUUUUUUUUAUGUUUUUUCAGUCACUUUUAGGUUGCAUGUUUAUUUUUUGUAAUAUUUCAAUUGUUAUUCUUUUUGUGUUUUUUAAUCUUAUAUAUUGUAAAUUUUUGAUCAUUCAAUUGAUAAAUCAUGUUAUGAUUAUUUAUGCACACUAGUUUCAUUGUCCUCUAUAUUUCUGCAUCAUUUUCUUUGACUUAUCUGGUGUAGUUUUCUACAUUAUAUAAUCUUUCAAUUAUAUAUUUUUAGAUUUUUUUUGAGAUUUUUACUAGUAAUAUUUUAAAUUUUUAAUGGAUAAAUGAUGUCAUAAUUGUUUAGAUCACGCAUGAAUUAUAUAGAGGUCUAUACAAAUUCUAACGAAGAAAAACCGUAGGAAUUAAAACAAGAUUAGCAUUAUGGCUGCACUUAUCUUUCUCGAGACGUAUCAAAAAAAAACUUAUCAAAAUUUCAAUCCAUCAUUCAAUUGUUGAUUGCCUGAUCUUUGAUUACAAAGUAUGAUUAUCGAUAAAAAAAUAUAUUAGAUAAAAAUAAACAAGUUUUUUUUUUUCUGAAAUCAACCAUAUCGAUCAUAAGUAUCAAAUUCUAUUUGAAUAAAUUAAUAAUAAUUAACAUUACAAUAUUCUAGGGGCAGAGUGUCAUAAUUCAUCAAAAACUUCCUUAGAGCUAGAAAAAAUGGGUUACAGUGGAAGAAAAUGCGGCAAACCUUUCAUGUUUUUAAACAACUAUAAUUUGAAUAUAUAUUUUUUUUUGUGGAUUUUUUUUCAAUAGUUUUUUUUAAUAUAUAUAUAUAUAUAUAUAACAACUAUAAUUUGAAUAUAUAUAUUUUUUUGUCGAUUUUUUAAUAAUUUUUUUAAUAUAUAUAUAUAUAUAUUUUUUUUUUAGUACAACUGCGGCUUGACGUGAGUGCAGCCAACUCAAAAAAAAAUAAGACGGUGCAAAAGAAUAGGCACUGCCCAGCCAAAGCUUCUAGCCCGUGAUACUCCACGCUCCCCUGUUGAUGUCUCGAGUUUAAACAGAGCCCUCUCGCUCCUUCCGGUAUUUCCCACGGUAAUAAAAGUCCAAGCAACGCCAACCCAUACAGUAAGUUACACGUGCCUAACAACGUGACAACUUCCCUGACGCCAGGUUCUCCCCUCCCUCCUAAAUGCCCACAUUUAUACUCACCCUCUUUGACAUGCGUACCCUCUCCCCUCCCCCAAGUGAAAGAAAAGUUGAAGAGCUCAAAAAAUGCCUUCCUUUCAAAGAAUAAAUCAAGGCUAUCUGUACGAUUAAAUUAAAGUCUCAAAUUUCCUUUCCAAUUUUAGCCAGCACGCCGAUACUGAUUCUUCCCUUCUUUUCUUGCCGUUCGUUCCUCUAAUCCUCUACCCCCACCUCGCAUCUUCUUUUGUUUUUCCAUUUCAACGCAGUUCCAGUCUUCUCUCUAGGUAAGAGAGAGAGAACAGAGAAAGAGGAUUGGAAUCAUUUUCUUCGGUUUUUUGUUUUAUUUUAUUCGGUUUGCGUUUUCUUUGUUUCUUGUUUUUGAUCGGAUCGGCGGCAGCAGUCUUUUUGUGUUCGGGUCUUCAAAAUAUUCGGAUUGGUCGGAGGCGGAGAUGGCUGCGGUUGCGGAGAACGCGACCGGCGUCGGCGACCAGUUCGUCCGCCGCCCGUCGUCGUCGCUGCCGCAGCAGAAGCGCGGGGGGUCUUCGGAGGCGGAGUACCAGCGCGACGUGCGCGAGCUCGUCGAGCUGCUCUCCAAAUUGAACCCGUCCGCGAAGGAGUUCAUCCCCUCCUCCAACGCUUCCGCCAACACCCCGCUUCUGGCGGCCGGCCAGGACGCCGACGCGGCCGCGGCGGCGGCACAGACCACCGCCGGCGGAAGGAUGCCAAAUGGGCGGCUGUCGGCAGAUGCGCCGGUGUUCGUGGCCUCCUCGGAUUACUACGGCAGGCCGAUCGGUGGGGGGAAUCGGUACGCGGCCAGCGGCGAUGGCCCGUCCAACAACCAGCAGCCCCGCAGAGUAUAGACUUCAAUUCUUUCUUUAGAUCUUUUUCGUCUUCUGAUUUCUUUGUUAGAAAUAUGUCAUCGUGCGCUCGUGCAUCGCGGCGAUCUGGGGCUUCUAGGGUUUUGGGUUCAAUUUUAAUUUGUUUUAUUCAGUUGAUGGAUGGCAAUUUGGAUAGAUGCAUUUCUUGAAAACUGAAGCAGAUGGAGAAAAAUUGGAUCUCUUGGAUACAUUGUCUUAUAUUCCGUAGCAUUUUCUUCCUCCUGUUAUUCUCGGCCGAUAACUUAGGCUGCUUUCAUUAUUUUGCUGAAGUGUUUGGGCUUUAUGCAGAGGAAUUUUUUUUUUUUUUACACAACUUUGUUUGAUCUUUUGAAUUAUUUUUGCAGAGAAAGAACAAUUACAACAAGGGGCAUCGGAGGUUUAAUGAUAGGGUUCAAAAAGCGCAGAAGGAGGACCGCAUCAGGCGCACUGUAUAUGUUUCUUAUAUCGAUCAUAAUGUAAACCAUCUAAAAUUGCAGUAUUUCUUAUGUUGAUUUAUUUUCAUCCUACUGUUCUGUAAUCUACUGUGAUUAUGAUAAAUGUAACUUCAAAAUGCUAACUUUCUUAAGCUAUUGUGGUGUUAAUAUUAUCAUAUAAUUCCAUGUAAUGCUUCUGAUAUUAAUUGGCAGGUAAAACAACCGAUUUAUCUGUAUCCUACUGUUCUGUAUUUUAUGGAUAUUUUUAUAAUGAAAAAUGCAACUUUAAAUAUUAACUUGCUUAUGUUAUUGUAGUUUAACAUUAUCAUAUAAUUCUGUGUAUAUGGUACUAAUCCAAACUAUUUGAUUGGUACAUAUCAGGUCACUGAGGAGCAGCUUGCUGCAUUAUUUGGUAGCUAUGGGAAAGUAAGUUUCUCCAUAUGUAUCCUGAAAUUUAACUAAUCCAUGUUAUUGAAGAUGUGAAUGUUGUAACCACGCAAUUCCUAAGAACAGGAUGAAUGAAUAUUGCUGACUAGAUUUUAGAUUGUUACUGUUUAUUGACUGUGUGUUAUAUCAUCUUUCUCGUGUUUUGUAGUUUCUUUUGAACAAUGGCACUGCUAUUUUUUAUGAGUUAUCCAGUAUGACAUAUGCAUACUGAUGUUUCAUAUGCUGACUUUAGCUUCUCACAAGAUGAUAUCGAUUGGAGUAUUUUAAAGAGAUGCUUUAUCUAUUACUUUUUUUUUCAUAUUUGAAAGUUUUUAUUGGACCGGUGAGAUGCUAACAAAUGCAGUCUAAGCUAAUGAAAAAUAUGAAAUGCUUCCAAAGUCUUCCCUAUUUUUCUUUGCUAUAUUUUGGCAGAUUAACAAGCAUAAAAUCUGAAACUUGCUGUUGAAAUGGUGUCUUGUACUUGGUUGUUUGUUGUCUCCUUUAUGUAUUGGGAGAUGGGCCUCUCUAGAGAUGGAGGCAUAUUGAGGGGCCAAAGGCCCGAAGGGCGAAGGCAGAACUAGAGGUGCCAUAUACACCCCUAAAAGGUCCACCAGGGGUUUGGGAUUUUUUUAAUCCUUUUGUAUUACUUUUUUGAAUCCUGAUGUAUGUACCAGUGAGGCUUUUCAGGGUCUGCUCCAACCUGAGGGUGUGUUGAGAAGCAGUGAGCUAGGGCUUGAGACUAUAUUUCAGGGCAUUUCUUUUUACUCUUUAUCUUUAGUGGAGCUUCCUCGAUUGUCUCCAAACAUUAGUGUAGGUUAGAGAUGAACCAUGUAAAUCUCUUUAUGUGCUUUGUGUUUUGUUUGAUUUGUGUUCAUGCGUUAUAUCUUUCCUCACUAUGAGAACCCUAGGUCUGCGUAUUAGCUGCGAUAUGUAUCAUUUGUAAAAAUGCCCUUUUGUUUUUCAAAAAGAUCAUGGGUAAGAAUGUCACCACGGGAAUUUUGGAUCAUUUGGGCCUGCGAAUAUGAGAUCAUAGGUUUUAAUUGAUAGUUGCAUUGAUUGGUCGUAGUUGCACGUAGUCGCUUGAUUUUACCUAUACAACUUAGGUUAGAUUAGCUACUAUGACUCUUCUAAUAGAGGCAUAUUAAAGAACUAUAGUUUAACUCUGCUUUAAUCAAAUGUACACUCUUUCUGGUAGUGUCUUUUGACAGCGCUUAUGUGAGAGAGCAAGAUAAGAGUGAGAGAGAGUUUUUCUAGGCAAACUUGGAAAAUGAAAAAAGGUGAGGUGCAACUCCAUGAUGAUUUUGGUGUUAGGCGAGAGCUACAUCUUUGUGAUUGAUGAGAUAAUAAAUCUACAAGUCCAUGGCAUCGAGGGAGGGUUGAAGCCUUGGUUGGUGGCAAAGUCCAUGCAGCGGCAUGGGGGCUACAGUAGAGAAAUGGAAUGGAUUGGUGGAGCCCAUGUUGUAGCUUGGGAAUGCAGGCAAGGAGAAGGUCAUAAGGGGAGAUCUAUGAGAUCCCUCAAGGACCAUGACUUGUAGAGUCCUUACACCAUUGGAUUUCCAACCAAAAUCUGAGGUUUGAGAUGAUAGAAGACAAGUAGUUUAUGCUGUCAGACACUAUGAAAUCUCCGACUAGGAUCUCAACCAAGAAUGGAGAUCUAAUGAAGGAAUGGGGAGAGGAAAGGAUUAGAGGAAGGAUGUAAAGGCGGUGGAUAGUGGAAGAAGAGAGUGAUUGGGCAAGUGUGGCUUUGGGAGUAAGAGAGCCUUAGGGCUUCUUGGUUAUUUUGAUAAUUAAAACCAAUCAAAAGAUCAACCAUUGGAACUUGAUCCACUGAUUGAAUAACAAUAAAAGGUCAUUCAGCCAUGUGAUUAAUAUCUAACAAUAAUAAAUCUUUUCAUCAUUAUUAAAACUAUAAUAUAUAUCACCUUUUCAAAUCUUAUAUAAAAUUUAUAUGAUUUUACUAUAUAAAAAAGGGUUUCAAACUAUAUCGAGCUAAAACUAAAUGAUCUAGACCUAACUCAAGUUUGACUUGUUUAUGUUUCAAGCUUAGAAGUCCACCUCGAGAUCUGCUCAUUUGAUAAUGGGGCGAGCGGAUUCCAAGCUGAAUUUUGAACCAAAGAUGUGCUAGCUCACAAACAACUGGGUCAUUCAACACCCCUAUUAUUGAACAUGAGCUUGACUUAUUUGAGUUUCUGUUCUCUACUCAAGAAGGUAUUUAGAGGUAGAGUAAUUAUGUGGGCAUUUAUUUGUGUUCCAAUUUUGCAGGGUCCACAUUCAUUGACAAACUAGUUUAUUUACUUUUCUGCUAAUUUAAAACAGGUCUCCAACAUAUUCGUAUUUUAGAAAGAAUGAAGAUAAAGGAAAAAACUAAAACUUAGAUGAGUCACCUACGACAAAUAUGGAAAAAUAUGCUUGUGUAAAAGUACGAUAUUGCUAAACUCAUGGGCUAUUUUCAACAUUUCAGAUUGCCAUAUCAUGAUAUUUAUAUACUAUGAAACUAUAUAUAUUGAAAGUCAUAAAUAGUAUAAUAAGCAUAUAAUCAAAUUUUGUUGGUAUAAUUGUAUGGAACUCUGGGUAAUUUUUAAGCAACCAAACAAAGCAUAAUUGAUACAACAGAUAUGGUUCAUUUUUGUAUAUUUUGGAGGAAAUUCAAGUGGUUUAUUUGCAAAAGGGGCUUAGCAAAGAUAUACUCAUUUGUUCUCUUGUAUCGUUUUGACAGGUCACAAAAUGCAAACAUUUCAUUCUAACCUUAAUUUGGACAAUAUAUUAUGUGCUUCCUUUAUCAUAAAGCCUGGAGCAAGUCAGAUAAAAUUAUUUCUUUAAUUUUUUUGUUAAAGUAAAACCAGGCUGUUGCUUCUCUUAUUUGUUUGUCCUGGAGAUUCUUGAAUGUUUAUUUGAUAAGGUGAUAAUUGUGGUGGACUGUCAGUUGUUGAGUGUUUGUCGAUUUGAUUUAUGAUAUGUAUCCGUUUUGGUAUAUUUUGGAGGAGAUCCAAAUGGUUUCAUUCAAAAUGCAGCCAAACAAGGGUAUAUUCAUUCAGCCUAUUUUAAUUGGUGUCCAGACUCAAAAAAUGGAAACAUUUUGAUGAAGUGUUGCAUGUUUCAUUAUUGGCUAAACUGUAGCUAGUCAGCUGAUAUUAAUGCAUAAUUUUGUGUGAGAUUUGGUAGCACACUGUUGAUAAAGUAAUUUUAGAAAAGUGAGACUGUUGUCUUUGUUGUUUGUUUUUCUACUUAAUGCUUGUUGUUCUGGAAGGUGAUGUUAGUUGUUAAGAUAGUUGUUCAAGGUUUCCUUGGGUUUUAGGGGCAUAUUACUUUGUUCAACCUAAUGUAGAGUCAGUUGGAUUAUAGUUAUCCUCCCAUGUCUAGGUGAGAAUGCUGUUGCCUUUUAUGACAAUAUUCAGGCAUUGAUGAAACAAUGUGUUGGUUGGCUUUGUUUCUAAAUGAAAUAGAACCCUACUGAGCUAACUACAUAGGGACAAGGGCUUCCCUCUCUCCACUUCUCCUCCGGUAUAGGUAUGGAGGUUUCUUAAUAAUGAUCUGCCCUCAUCCGAUCUUGAUAGCACUGUUCUUGGUCAUCUUCCUCUUUGUUCUUGUGCAUGACUUGAGACAGACUUCUUCUCGAUGGCAUUGGAGAGACUUGAUGGUCAUAUAGCAGUCUGAGCGGCCAUUCUCUUUCUGGCUUAUAGAUUCUCUUAAGUCAGCAGAUUGUGUAAUGUGUUGGUUAAGGAAAGGAUUCAAUACUGCUGAAAAUGUUCCUUCAGAUCUAUUUUGUGUUCUUGAACUAAAUUUCUCAUUCAAGGACUCCCAGUUUUGUUAUCCCUAGAAUCCAGUUAUGGGUGAUAAAAUGGAGUUCCAUAAAUUUUAGUGGUGCAGACGAGUUGAGCCAAUCUGAGUAGUUCGCUGCUCAGGUUCAGGUUGCUCUGUGCUGGGGUGGACAAGCUUGAGUGGAUCUUAACAGGUCUUCGAGUGUUGUUUGUAUGAGAUCAGGGCCGAGCUUGAACAAGCUUCUUAUGGAGCCGAGCCAAGAUCCUAUUUACUUUCACAUGCCUUAGUGUUCAGACCUGGCUGAUUUAUGAAAUGAGCUUUAGAAUCUGUUGGAGCAUGGUUUCGUAGCUGAGCCAAGCCCAAAUAAUCCAGCCAAGCAGAUCCCAAUCAACUCAUGAAAAUCUCAGAUUACUUCCAGCCUUAUAUUUUUCAUUUGGUUCUCGUUAGGUUUGGUAGGUACAUUAUUUUGUUUGACCCAAGUUUUUAAUUAUUUUUGGAGAAUGUGAAAUUCCUAUACUAUUCACUGAGCGAAAAUUGUGUGCGGGACUGCCUUGUUUGUUUCUUUGAUGACAAAUUGCAUUUUUUGAGAUCACCUCUAGUUGCAGCAAACAAUUUGAUUUCAGGAAAUAUUUGUUAAAUUGAUGUGGUCAUGCUCCUUAUGAAACUGUAACUUGAUUGGACAUUUAGAUUUUCAUUUGGAACCCUCAGUUCAAACUUCUUUUUUAAAAAUAAUUCUUCAGCAACUCAUAACUUUUUCAUCCAGCAUUGCCUCAAGCUUCUAGAGUGAUUCUUUCUCACAUAUAUUCCUUAAAGGAAUGUCGAGUGUGACUGAUGUAAACACCCUUUAUAUGUAAUCAUAGGGAAGUACUUGAAAGAGAAGAGUUUUUGGAAAUUUGUAGCUUGGUGAUUGAUUUUUAAGUGCUAUUUUUGGGUCAGUUGGUCAUAUAACUCAAAAUCUAAAAUCAUCAUGUGAUAUUUUUCAAGACUGCAGACCACCAGUGUAUUUUAGGGUCCACCAUAUCCAUUGAACUUGGAUCCAAUUUUAUUUUUGUGCCUACAAAAACUUUAGAAAAAAAGGGUGAUAUUCUGAUUAUUGAUCUGAAUUUAACUUUGGUGUGGGACCAAAUAGAUAACCUGUAUGAUUUUAAUGCUUAAGUUAUUUGUCAACCUUAUGUUUCAUGAAUAUGAAUACAUCUUGGAUUGUAAUCCGGCAUGCAGUGGAGCUGUACAUGCCCCCCCCUCAACUCUAUUGUGAUCUCAUUUUCGUAUGCCGAAACUUGAUAAAAUUUGGGCCUCAUAAGGUCUCUGGAUGGAGAAAGUGGGGAUUGCUUCAUCACCCCCUAUGUCCAUUUAUGUCAAACAGUUUAUAUUUGGUUGCAAAGAUUUUAUACUUAAUAAUGAUUACACCACAAAGCUGGUAACUUUUUCUUUAUGUCACUUGGAUAUCCUAGUUAACGAUUAUGCAACAAACUGGCAACAUUUUUUNNNNNNNNNNNNNNNNNNNNNNNNNNNNNNNNNNNNNNNNNNNNNNNNNNNNNNNNNNNNUAAAUGGGGGUAGUUCUGGUCAUGUCUAAAAAAGCAUAUAAUAUCUUUCAGAUGUUGCGGCUCUGCCUAUCAAUAGAACUAUUAUCUGCGGGAUCUCUACCUGACCAGGAUGGAAAUAUUUUACUGGUAUGCUGGCAAAAUUUGGCUGCUUGGCAAUGGCAGGUCAUAUCUGACCCUUAUCCCAGGCUUAUUCACAGACCAGACUAGUUAUCAAAGAAUAUCUGUGUUCUGUUUGGUAUGAUGCCAAUACCUAAGGUGAUAACGCAUCCAAAUAUCUAGGUGAUGAUGCAUAGUUCGUAAUGGUUUCAAGGCUUUAUUCUAUCUUUUCUUGAAGCCUCUUGCAUCUUAUUAGUGGAUGGGCAGUAUAAUGAGUCAAUGACUGUUGUCCAUCUGAAGAAUUACAAGUGCAAUCAUGGUAUCUCACAUCCAGGUCGCGGCAGCUAUAGGAGAAGCUCUAUUAGUAAAUUAAUAAAUACAAGUAAGAUUUUUCAGGCUGUAGGACACAUCUCUUUCACUUUCUAUAAACUUGUGGUGGAAAUUUGGGCUUAUAAGACAACUCUGAAUUUUUAUUGUUCUUAUCAUGCUUCUCUUUAAAUUUUCCCUAUGAAUUUUCAUAUAUUUGUAUUGAGUUUACAUAUAUAUGUUUUAUUGCAUUUCCUCUGUUAAUUCAAUUACAAGUUAGUCUGUGGGAGAAUGUUUGACAACUUUGAAUGUUCAUUCUGAAGGUACUUGAUUGCCGUAUUUGCUGUGAUGCUAACUCAGUUCUUCGAUUCGCAUUUAUAGAGUUUGUUAAUGAACGUAAGUUUACUUGUGUUAUCUUAACCUUAGCACCUAUAUAGUGGUCUUAUGCUUUUUACAAAAGGAAUUAGAGCAAUGGACUAUUUCUAACAGAUGGUGCAAGAGCAGCAUUAAAUCUUGAUGGGACCGUGCUAGGUUACUAUCCUCUAAGAGUGCUACCUUCAAAGACUGCCAUUUUGCCUGUGAAUCCUACACUUCUUCCACAGGUAAGAUUAGUGAUUCUCGUGCUGCAUUUCUAAAAUUAUCACAGUAUAUUGUUUGUCUUAAAAAUAUAGCAUUCUCUGUUACAAAACUUCUGAGUUUUGAGAUUGAAUACAGUCUGAAGAUGAAAGGGAGAUGUGUUCACGGACAGUUUAUUGCACUAAUAUUGAUAAAAAGGUAGAGUAGCUUCUUCUCGACUCUUAUAUCAUAUGACUAUUGUCAAACUUCUGCUGGUUUGCACAUUUUAAGAAAAAUAUGUGCAAAAUAGAGUACAACUGGUUGAUUUUGUUUACAACAUAAAGAAAAAACAUGUUAAUUAUGUAGAAGUCAAUCGUAUCUUCAAAAUCGUGCAGCUGGAUUGCUUUAUUUCUAGUUAAAUGCAUUCUUUUCUUUAUCGAUUAUAAUUUUGGUUUUUCUUCUUUUGCAGGUUACUCAGACAGAUCUAAAAGAAUUCUUUCAGUCCUGCUGUGGUGAGGUCAGCACAGUGCCUUCUGUCUGGUAUUUUUCUCAUCAGUAGGUUAAGACAAUCAUGUUUAAGACACAUUUUUCUUAAUGGUUAGCAUUAUUUUUUUUCUAUGCAGGUUUCUCGCUUGAGACUUCUUGGGGAUAAUGUGCAUUCAACUCGCAUAGCAUUUGUUGAGUUUGUUCAGGUAUUUUGCAUUGCCGAACUGAUCAUAUUUUAUUUUUCUCUGAUUUGGAAUUUGAUAGUCUUGUUGGUGAUGUUCAAAUAUUAUCCUGCUUUUACCUUUUUGGGGUUUGGAUGUUCAUGUAUUCUAUUGCGCAUCUGCAUAAUAUGCCUAUUGUAUUGUUUCUAAACUUCUAAUGUUCAUGUUUUGCUUUGUGAUAGUCGAAAUAAUUUUCUCAGCUGGCUUGCCUCAUGGAAUCAAGCAGAAGUUAGUGAAUCUAUUCAGAUUUAGGCAAUGCUAUGUAAUUGCGAUGAACAUAAUGUGCUGAGUUGAGGUUCAUGUGUUUGCACUUAUGUAUUUUCUUAUCCAAUUGUUUGGUUCAGUGUUCUUGAACUUGCUAUUCCAUUUGUACAUCUCAUAAUGCUGCUUACAGAUGAUUACUUAUCACUUACAUUUCUUUCAAAAUUCGUGACUGGCUAUUUAACGAUCGUAUUUUCAUCAUGAUCUAUCAUAUAACUGAAAAUGAUGUUUCAGUUGAACAUCUAUUGAAAGAUAAUUCAUCAAUAUUCUUUUGUAAAUAUAAGUCUAUUAAUCAAUAUUGCAACCAAGUGUUAUUAACAUCCUGAACAAACCUCAACUAUAUUUGACCAGAAUCAUGAUCACCAAUCUUCAUCCCAUUAGUGGGGGUUAGCUUCAUCCUUCAUCCUUAUCAAGAACUGUAAGCUAUAAAUACAAGCUUGUUAAAAAUCAUUAAUUACACAUUUCAUUCGGCUUUUCUUAGGAACCUUCUAUUCUUUUCUGAUAGGUUGAAAACUUUAGGGCCUUCCCUUACUGAGGGUACAGUGUGCCUGUUUCAUCACAAUUUGUUCUUUAUUACUUUAGCCUCUUUGACCAUGGCUGCUAAACUUACCUAGUUCCUGAAGUAACGAUGCAAGUUCAAAUUUAUUAAAACUUAUUAUGAGUUGGAAGCAUCUUGCUUAUGUUUCUGUUGCAUCUUGUUUUGUUUCUCCUUUGUAUCUUUCUCAAUUCUGAUUUAUAGUUGAGAAAAGGCUUCUUCUGUAGCAAUAAGGAGCUGAAACUAGACAGUCUUCUUUCUCCUUUGUUACUUGCCUUCAUCUUCUAAAUAUUCAGCCAGGUGCUGGUUUGAAAUGUAUGGCAUGAUGCAAGGUUGAGAGGGUGGUGGAACCUGAGAUUGCUCCAACAUGGAGUGCAGCACUAAGUGUGCACUGGGUAAAAGAGUGGCCAUGUGGCCGUUUUGGUCCGGACUGCAUCAAUUGCUUGACCUUUUGGUGAAUCCUUUUGAUUUAUCAAAAACAGUGUGAUUGUAAGCUUCCAUCAUCCAUGCCUAUGGAUGAUGAAGUGAUACCAUACAGUUCCCUUGCUCUCAAUAUAAGAUGGAGUCAUCCAUUUUGGAGGAGCCUGUGCCCAGGUGUAACUACUAGACAUUAGCUAGUGUGUCUUUUCUUCUCUGUCCUAAAGUAGACAUGAAGUUUCACUAGAGUGAUUGUUGGAUGGAAUAUCAGUUGGCUGAAUGACAAAGCUGUCCUCUUUCAGGUAAGAUACGGCAUCAAUUGGCUAAAAAAGAAAUUUCUUAAAUGAUUUUCUAGGAUAUAAAUAUCUGAGGUUGGACCACAUGGAAUUUGGAAACGCUUAAAGCAAUGAAUAUGUUGAGAUACAAUCUGGCUGGAGCAUGUGCGUUGUUUAGUAUUUGUGGUUUUUGUUGUGCAGUUAUAUUUUAUAUGCAAGAUGUUUUGUGGAUGCAAAUUUUUUGUUCGUCAUCUGAGGCAAAAGUAGGGUAUAUCAUAGAAUUCCAAAGAAUGAUCUAGAACUGAAUUUUUCUGGGAGAUAGAUUAGCAAGUAUUUAUUUGGAAAACCUGCAAGUGAUGCGGAUGGAACAACAGGAGAUUACUUUAACUAGAUAAGGACUUGGAAAGAGAAAACCCUUAGGGUGAAAUGACAUUCCAAUCAUGGUUGCAAAAGAUGCUAUAUGCUGGGCCAAUACCAACACAGCACCUAGGUUGGCAGAACACCUGAGUCCAUUUUCAAUUAAAGGACUCUUUGAAGUCCCCUUUUUAUUGGGUUUCAGUAGGGAAGGCGUGGUGCUGGUUGCAGCCGACACUCCCCAUCUCAACGACACUUAAGUCCUUGAUUCUGGUAUUGGUGGAAGAUUGUUAUAGAUCUUUUAAUGAGAUUUUGAAAUCUAGCAAGAUAGCUCAUGAUUGAGGAAGCACAGUGAUCUCUUGUUAAGGAUAACAUGUACGAAAAUUCACUAGAUAUCAUGGUGCCAUAAAUAGAGCCAUAAUAUGGUGUAAUAAGGCUAGUUGGCACAACAAAGUUUGAAACAGGUAACAAGCAUAUCAACAAACUAGUUUGGUUUUUUUCCCGGGGAGUGACAAGUCGAAGCAAUUUUCUUGCAUAGCAAAUUGGUCAAAGAAGAGAUUCUUAUGUGGGAUUAUUCAUUUGGUACAAAGUGCUUUGUAGAAGAAUAGCAUCAUUGGGGUCUACAUUGGAGAUUAUUACAUAGGUUGUGCUAAGGUCAGAAUCAAGCGUGUGACUUGUGGUGUGAAUGAGUAGUUUUCAUUUUAGUUGGAUUGGAUAAGAAUUGAACCCAAGUUUGUACCUCUUUAUGCUGGUAACGGACAUGUGGAUGACAGACUUCUGACAGGAGACUACUUGGUGUUCGUAAUUUGCAAUCGAUAGUGUUAUUGGUAAGGGUUAAUGCUUGAUUGUAGAUAUUGAGGAAAACUUUGGAUGACAAAGAAGUAAAAAUUAGCUGUGCAAAAACAGAUUAUUUUGAUUUCUUUUAGUACUUUAUUUGUUUAUCUGUUCAAGGGGCCUGAAGGCAGUUUUAUGCACAACAAAAAUAUACAAUCCGUAUAACCUCCUAAGGUGCUGCCCUGCAUCUUGUGCUUUAUUCAUAUUUUUCAUUCUUUAUAGCAUCUCUUUGUAAUGGUGACUGCAGAUGUCGAUAUUAGCCAUCUCAUAAAUGGUCUAUGACUCUAUAUGCAUCUCCAUCUAUUUGUUGAAUCAAAUCUCUCAAUUUGUUUCUGCAUUGUGGCGUUAAUUACCCUUGAGGGUACGCAUUAUCCUUCUCAUCCAACUUUCCAAUUUUUGUGUCUCCACUUGAAGUUGCAGUCUUGUAAUAUAAAGCUCUUAGCUUUCUCCAGGCCUAGCUUCCAAACUGAAUUGUAUCUGGCAAAACCAGUAUCCUUACACAAAAAGAAUCCUUCAGUCGCCUUUUAGAAUGCACUAAGUUCACCUAUACUCCUUACUAGCAAUCAGUCUUCUAGGUUUUGUGGCAGACCAUUGUCCUGCUCCAAUUUACCUUGAGCUGACUUCACAUCAAGAUCUGGACACUUCAUAUAAAUUACGGUCUUCCUAUUGAACUCCCAGCUACUUGGUGACGUAGAAUGGAAGAAGAAAGAGAUAGAUUGAGAAAGAAGAAGAAAAAGAAGAGGGAGAAAGGAGGGGGAGAGAAAGAAGAGCAACUCAAUAAUCUGUAUUCUCAACGAUGCAAUCUAUCUUCUCAAUAAUAUAGCAAUAAAUUUUUAUAGGCAUCCUAGGGGAGAAAAGAGGAGGAGAGAGAGAGAAAGAAGAGCAACUCAAUAAUCUGUAUUCUCAAUGUUGCAAUCUAUCUUCUCAAUAACAUUACAAUAACUUUAUAUAGGCAUCCCAAAAAACUAAUAAAGUAAACCUUAGAGUCCACAUAAAAAUAAAAUUCUAGAAUCCAAAUAAAAAUAAAAGUCUCUAAUUUGCAUAUUUGCAUCUAAUGUAAGUGCGCUUAAAUUCCUUAUUAAUGGAUGCUCCUCCUCCACUUAGUUUUUUAAAGUUGUGUGCUUGUGGAUAUUAGCCAUCAUAUAUGAAGUGUGGAUAUGGAUGCUAGACACAUAUAUGACACAGUUCGGAUACGUUGAUACCUCAAAUCUUGAAAAGUAGGUUAUGCUAUGCCUAGAAUACAAUCAUGAACAAAUAUUUAAAGUUGCGUGCCUGUGGCUAUUAGCCAUCAUAUAUGAAGUGUGGAUAUGGAUAGUGACAUAGAAAUGACAAAAUAUAGAUACGCUGAUACAACAAAUCUUGAAAAGUAGGUUGCACUACGACUAGAGUACAAUACCGAACAAAUCUGUAUCUUUUACUUUUAUGCAAAAAAAAGAAUCAACACAAAUAAUAAUGUUAUUUACAAAGUCCAUUGCUUAGUCAUCAUUUAAGUCUAUCACAAUCUAUACUUUAUGUAAUAGUAUCAACAUCACAGACACGAACUGUAAAUUAACAAUUCAUCACAAAAAGAUCAGCAUCAUUAGAGAGAGAGACCUCAUCUGUUGAGGCAUAGCGAAGCAUCUCAGAUGUAACUGGGAGGUAUCCCAAGUCGUUUUUAAAAAUUUUAAAUAAUAGAAUACUUCAAAUUAGUUAUUCUGUGUAUCCUAGAAGUAUCUGGCCGCUAUGGGUAAUUGAUGUGGAAACGACAUGCAAUUUGCUGUAUUUGUGCUUCAUAGGCCAUCAUUUAUGUGAAAAUGACAUCACAAUCAAAUUUUCAAGUUUGAAUGUUUCAUAUUGUACAAUGAAAUGAUGUUGUCAUGUUUCUAAACCUCUUUUCUGGGAUUUAAUGAAUCACUAAUUGCAUCAACAUCCAUCUGUGGCAGGCAGAAAGUGCCCUUCGAGCUCUGAAUUGCAGUGGGAUGGUUCUUGGAUCUCUUCCUAUUAGGUACAGUCUUCAAGUCUGCCACUCAAUUGAGAUUACUUUGAUUAUGAUUUCCAUUGCCAUGACUUUUGUCUGUAUGGCCCUUAGGUUAAGUCCUUCGAAGACUCCGGUCAGGCCUCGUGUUGCUCGCACAAUGCAGUAGCUGCAGUUUACUUUAUAUUCGAACUGAUGGGCCAAUUUUCACUACUGGAGGAACUUUGUUGUCUGGGAAGGGCUGAUGACAUUUGACUCUGCUUUAUUGGCGGAAAGCAUUUUUUCCCCACAACUAAAAAUGACCCACCUUCCUGCUGGCUUUGUUGUUUAAACAAGACCUGUCUUGUGGCUUUACAGAUGUUGUUAUCUGUUUUAUUUGUUAUUUAUUUGCGUGGUAAGAACUAAGGAGUGUCGUGGUAAGAACUCAGUAGCUGGUGAUCUCAACCAGCAUAGUUUUCUGCGGGAACCUGGAAACUGUGCUGCUCAUCUUUCAUUAAAGACAAACUUUUCUGAUUAUUCUAAUGAUUUUAGUUGUGAAUUUUGGUUUCUUAUUUGCAAUUGCUCCUUUAUUAAUAUAUAAUCAGAACCUAUUGCAGGUUGAGUUCGUUGAAGCCAAAAAAACCAAAAAUGGGUACAUGGAAAAUAGUUAGUCUUUGCAUGAUAACAUCCAAUUAAAAAUUUGAUCAAGAAACUUGUUUAAUUGGUAGAUGGUGAUAUCAGCAUUUGUAUGAUGCUGUUGAGAUGUUAGGGUAGUAGCAGUUCUUGCUUCAAGAGGAGAAAUUCUUACUGUUUACAAGAGACAGGAGCCUCUAUUUUUGUGAAAUCGACCAUAGCAAUAUAUGACUGUGAUGAGUUUCAGCUGGUCCUCCGGAACUAGGCUCCUGCUCUUGAGACAUUGGUUUGGCCGGAAUCAUUUUUAUGAUUGUUCCUUCUCCUUGAUGGAAAUACCUGUUCCUGUGAUGCUGAAAACUGAUGCAACAAGGCCCUUUCUGAUUUGUUCGUCCGUAACGUGAGCCUGGAGUAGACUACAGCAGCAGUAGACUUUUGACGUAGUGUUUUCCAUGCAUAGCUAUCAUAUCAAUGGUUGAGUCGUAUGACACUCACAUGGUUAUCAUGAUGUAUGGUUUGUACAUGUAUUUCUUAUUACACUUGCGUCUAAUAAUUUAUAAAAUCUAUAUCUAUAUCCAAUUAAAUUAAUAGCAUUAGGGAAAUCGUUUAUCUCAUAUGAAAAUUUAAAUUGUGCUGGGAGAGAAACGAAGAUGCACAUAAUUUUUUUGUCGGUUGUUAUAUCACUUAAGAUUAUUUUAAUAAUUUUAAAAAAAAAAAUUAAUGUGAUAUUUGGAUUUUAUUUAAGAUUAAUGGUUUGACUAACGUUUUAGUAUGUUAGAGGUUGAAAUGUUGGAUAAUUACAAACAUUAAGAGGGUUAGUGUUAGUUUUUUCAAACUAUUAGAUGUAAAUAUAAUUUAUUUUAACAAUGGAGCAGGCAAACGGGCCAAUUUUUAUGUUGCUUAAGGUUUUUGGACCAAUCAUGUAAGAUGGUACUUCAAAAUCUUGGUCACCAUGUAUAGACUCGGAAAUGAGACUUGGUGAUCGCUAAAAAAAUCCUUCAGCCAUCCAUCCCGAGCGACCGAGUCAAUUCGUCUCGCAAUCAGUCAACCACAUGCCGUCCUCAACCUUUAGCAGCCUUACCAUUUGCAAUCAUUCCUAAAUCCUCGAGCGUGAUAGAGGGAGGCAUUAAUGGAAGGCAAAGAAGUAACUCCCUGCGGGUCAUCCGGCGCAUAAAUAGCGUUCCCCUCUUCCCAUCCUGUGCUGCGCCUUCAAACCCUCUUCCCCACAGACAUGAGAGGAGCUCAAAAGAAAAUUAAAGGGACAGUAUCCAAUUUAACACAAGGCCUUUCUCUUUAUUUGGAAUCUGGAAUUUUUAAGGAACGUUAUCGAUGAACUCCGUCAUGUAUAAAUGCCCCUCCAUUUUUUCUACUUCAGACUGCCUUCCUACCCUCUUCUCAGAACAGAAUCAAAGAGAAGCUGUCCUAGAGAAGCUUCUCUCUCUCUCUUUUUCCAAGAGAGUAGGAAGGAAUGGCCUCUUCCUCUAUCCACAUUUCUAUCUCCAAUACCAACCUUUCAAAAAUUACCAGACCUGAUCUUUCUGCGAUCAGGAUGACCGCCACAUCCACCAAAGUAAUUUUGCCCUCCCAAUCCAUCUCCAGAUCAAGCAACCUGCGACUUCCUUCCAGUUCUUCUCCCCUGCGCUGCACCUCAAUCCUUGAUCAUGUCCGCAUGGCUCCCGAACCACCAAACAAGCCUCGAGAAGAUCCAUUAAGGAUCGCCAUCAUUGGAUUCGGAAACUUUGGGCAGUUCAUAGCUAGAGGGCUCGCGAGGCAGGGCCACAACGUGCUUGCGACGUCGAGAACGGACUACUCACAGUAUUGCAAUCGACAUGGGAUCCAAUUCUUUCGGUAAGCAAUGCUGAAUGAAAGCUUGUCAUCCUACUUUCUAAUGCACAAGGGAGGGACGUGGAAAUCAUAGGCAUGCUUCUUCAUAAUUUUGAUCCAUUUCAGGAGCCUGGACGCAAUGUGUGAGGAGCAACCGGACAUUGUGCUCGUCUGUACUUCCAUCCUGUCGACGGAGGGUGUCAUUCGUAGGAUCCCACUGCACAAGCUCAAGCCUGACACCAUCUUCGCCGACGUUCUAUCCGUCAAGCAGUACCCCAGAAAUCUAUUCGUCGAGGUAAGCAGAAGUAAUUUUGCAUGGCGAUCGAGUAUGUAUGAGAUCAUAAGAAUGGUGUUUCCUAUAUCUCAAUUCCCAGCAAAGGUGUUCUCUUGUAGUUUGAAUUUUAAAUUGCGUACGAGCUAACGGUCACUUUUAUUGCAUUUUUUUUUUCUUUCGUUAAAGGUUCUUCCGCCGGAAUUUGGGAUAGUGUGCACGCACCCAAUGUUUGGGCCCGAGAGUGGGAGGCAUGGCUGGGUGGGGCUGCCCUUCGUCUAUGACCAAGUCCGGGUCCGUCCUCACAGCUUGCAAGCUCGGAAUUGUGCCCGUUUCUUGAACAUCUUUGAGAAAGAGGUUAGUAACCUAUGAGUCUCAAUUGAUCAUAAUGAUCUAAACAUGUGCUAAUCUUAGACCGCAUUGGACCGCAUCGCACUUAAAUCAUGUCGAACCAGGAUAACCUGGUCGGCUGAGCCAAAUUGUCGAUUGUAGUUCAAUAUGACAAGGACCAUCUCUGCUACAAAAUCAUGAUAUUCCCCGUUAUUUUUUUGAAAUAAUAAAUUAUGACUUCAAGAAUAUAUAUAUUUUGUCCGAUUAUGAAAUGAAAUCUUACAUAAAAUUCUUAAAUCACGAGAUCGAAAAUUUUUGUUUCGAGUACUUUUUCUAAAAUUUUUUGUAUAUCCUCUAUUGAUCAUUGCUUUUAAUCUUCUUAUUCUAGUAAACAAACAUGUUCUAGAAAAUCUCGACCUUCAUAGUGGUUAUGAAGUAGUGCAAUUUUUUGGUGAAAGAAAAAGAAAAAAAUUGAUGCCAGUUUCACAACCACUUCAUGUAAAAUCCAAGCAUGAUUUGAAAAUAGAGCAAUUGUAUACUUCACCAUUCCACUGGAUUUUAUAUGCACAUGUCAAGUAAGAAAGAAAUUUAUAUUUAUGUUUCCCAGCAAUGUAAAGAAAUUAACCAACUUUUUUCCAAUUUCUUAAGCAGGGUUGUAGGAUGGUGCAUAUGUCAUGUGAAGAACAUGAUCGCUAUGCUGCCGGCAGUCAGUUCAUUACCCACACAAUUGGAAGGUAAAAUGAUGUAUGCUGAUAUGCUAGUUCUAGUAGGGAACAUAAAAUAUUUAUAACAAACUUUAACGUAACCAGAAUAAUACCCUACAUUUAUAAAAUAAUUUUCUUCUAUAAAAUAUAUAUAUAUAUAUAUAUACCCAUUCAAUUACUUAAAUAAACUACAAUCAUCUAGCUUUUUUUUCCAACAAUUGAUAUCUUACUAUAACCAUCUAACUUUUUGCCAACAAUUGAUAUCUUGUCUCAUCAACAUAUAGAAAUAAGGGAUUUCUCUAUUUUUGAAGGAUUCUCUCUUCUCUAUCCAUUCCUACUCUUUCGAUCUAUUAGAAUUAGGAUCAGUUUUAUGGAUACUAUUUCGCCAAAUAUUCCUAUUUAGGUUAAUAUUAUUCCGAGUUUUUUUAUAUCGUUUUGUACAAUCUCCAUCUAUGUCACCUCAAGUCUUCUUCUCCUUUUUCUUAUCACCUUCGGCACAAAACCAAAGUAUCUAUCCUUUUUAGAGCUUUCUUCUAUCUUUGUUGUACAUAUUGGUACCAUCUCAAUCAGUUUUUCAUUACUUUAUCCUUAACUUGUGCAACUCCUACAACUUCUUUAAUAUACUUAUUUUUUAUUUUAUUUUUCUUGUAUUAUCAUACAUCCAUAAACUCCUUCCUAUUAUACUUGUUUUCAUCUAUCUUCUUCACUGCCUAACACUCUGAUUAAUACAGUAUGAUAAGUUUUAUUGGUGUUUUAUAUUUUUUUUAAAAAAAAUCUUAAGGGUAUUUGCCUAUCACAUAAUGUUCCAAAAGCAUCUCUCUCUCCACUUCAUCCAACGGCUUUAAUUUUAUGACAUUUAUCUUCAUUUAUCUUCACAAACUCUGACAUUUAUCUUCAAGAUGCAGGAUCCUAUCACAUCUGAAUCUGGAGUCAACACCCAUUAACACAAAGGGAUAUGAGACCCUCCUGAACCUGGUAAUUAAAUUCACACAUUGUUGAAUUUUACUUGGAGUUCUUACACAAAAGCUCCUGUGAUGACUAGUUUACUAAUAUCUUGAUCCUACUGCAAUGGCAAUGGCAAUGGCUUUCUUCUGCUUUGCAGACAGAGAAUACAGUCAGUGACAGUACGGAUCUCUAUUUUGGGCUCUUCAUGUACAAUGUGAACGCCACAGAGCAGGCAAGUGUGCCCUCUUCACAAACUUACUCUAGUCAUAACUCAUAACCCCCACCUCCCCACAACCCCACCCGACACCUAACACGCGCGCGCGCCGAGUCUUAUCCAGAUUAAUAGCUAUUGGGAAUGAGAUACAGAAUUUCUUCUAGCACUCAAAGUAAAAUGAUGGUAGACAAUUGUAGGGGAUGGAUUUGAUAGAAUAACAGACAGAUGUGGGAUGUCGCUUUUAUCAGCAUAACAUCAGAUGGACCCAUCAAAUAUUAAAAUGCUAUCUUUUACGGAUACAACUAAUGUCACAUUGAUGAAUACAUGCAUUGCAUACACAUAUCAACACAUAUACUUUGAUACAUAUAUCCAUGCAUGCAUAUGCACAUAUAUAUAUAUAUAUAUAUAUAUUUGAAUUAUGUAGUAUGAGUACUUUUUUGUACAUUCACAUGUAUAUAUGGCCGGAAGUUUUCGCAUUAUUGUGCAAGAUAUGAACGUAUCCAUCUUCAAAUUAUGAGUAGUAUCAUUUUUUGAGCACACCACGAACCAAAUUUCAGUCUCUAAGUUGAAUGAUACCGACUAUGGUGCAACCGCGUGUAUUAAAAUGACUGGCACAUGAAUAUAAAUGAUGUAAUUUUGCAUCUGAAUAAUUAUAUGGCGUUAAUUGUAGUUGAAGAUGUGGCAUAAUGAUGCAGAUUGCUAACCUUGAUAGAGCAUUUGAGACCGUGAAGCAGAAGCUCUUUGGAAAGCUCCAUGACAUUCUAAGAGAACAAAUUGUGGAGAGGAUACCAAUGCCGGGGACACCCACAGCUACAAGGGUGAUGGAUCCCCACUUCCUACGUGAUGCUAACCGAAUGGAAGGCCUAACCUCCUUAAUUGUACCCCGACGCUCCGAACAUGUGAAAUGAAUGGAAGACAUCUCGCAACAACCCUCACCCUCAAGGUCCCCAAGUCUCAGAUAGAGAGAGAGAGAGAGAGAGAGAGAGAGAAUUAAAAUAUAAACAUGUCUAAAUUUUGUUUUUUGUUUUUGAUUUUUGGUUGGCGAAUUGAGCCAAUUCUCGCAAGCAGUGUUGCUGUACCAGAUUCUUGGAGCCUUCUUAAACCGGAAAAUCUGCUCAUUUAUUUCCUUCAUAUAUUCAAACUAGUCCAUUCCAUUUGAUCCGACGGUACAACGUGUGACCAUUGCAAUUGCAAUAGAUGACUCACCUUCGUUCUAAACAGAAAAGGGAUCGGACGAUAAACUCACUUCGCGGAACCCCCACCAAGAACCACAAAGUGAUGCCGCAAACCUGCUAUUUUUUCCCCCUAAGGAUUAGCUCAAAGCAAUGUUAUCUGUGAUAUAUGAACAAGACCGAAUUAUUGAGAAUACAAACAUCACCCCUGCAAAUCCAAGCAGAGAAUUUCGAGCACGGGAAGACUUGCGCACAAACAAACUGCCUUAACAAGUUCCAAUAUCUGCUGUUUUAAAACAUGAAAAUCGUAAAAUGCACCUAUGUUAUUAUGAAACUGAAUGCUCCUUGCACAAGAGACCCAAAAACAGCAAACUUCGACUAGUGACACAAAUGAUAUCUGAAAAGGUGGCUUCAGCCCAACGAAGUGAUUUACAUCAUAUGGUAUAAUUGGAGCUUGGAAGGACUAACAUUUGAAAGGAGCACCAUCCAACACUUCCAUUGCAUUGUUGCAAGCAAACAAUGGCCGAAUUAACUUCCAAAGUGGACUAGUUAUUACGAGCACACAGCUACUACUGCAAUGUCGUCAUGCCCCGCUGGCAUAUAGACGGGUCCAUUCCUUGGCUGCACCAUUCCAAAUAAGUUCCAUCAAGUGAAGAUAGCGACAUAAGCCCACGAAAUAUCCAGAUAGGUGAACCAUCACCAAGUUAAAAUAGCUAUUGCCUGACACAAUAAUCUCAUGGCCAGGUUGUUUAUCACGAGCUGGUAGUCGUAGGAUUAUAAUCUAACCUGUUUCUACAGCUUCAGCUUCAUUUGCCUUCCAAUGCUUUGCAAUGUUGUCAGAAAGAGGGUCAUCUGGGUUUGGAGCACUCAGAAGCGCUUGAAUACUGAUAAAAAAGGGACAAUGAACAACAUCAAUUAAUCAGCAGAAGAUCGAUAACCCCCUAUAAAAUCAAGCCCCAGAUAAUGAAACCAAAAGUAUUAUAGCUUGAUUAGAAUAAUCUAAUAAAAGGCUGCUAUUAUCAUUUUCUGAGACUUAUUUCUUAAUAAUCAUGAGUAACUUGCACAUAACCCUUAAGAGUCUCAUGCGGAUAAAACCCCAGUAGUAACAGCACUUAUUAGAGAGAGAGGGAGAAAAAAAUGAAAUUUGGAAAAUAAAUUUCUCCUAGAGGAAACAAUAAAGAAUCAUCAAAAGACAGUACUAACAGUAAUAGUGCAAUGGAAAUAAUCAUGUAACCUCAGCAAUACAGUUCGAAUCUGGAGAGCUGGACUCCAUUUAUCUUUAAGAAUAUCAAGGCAUAUUCUUCCAAGCUGCAUGCAAAAUAUUAAAUUCAAAAUACGUUCUCUCCAGGAAGAUAACAAAUAAAAGAAGGUGAUCUGCUUGCCUUGUCAAUAUUAGGAUGGUAAAUCUUGGUGAGAAAGCGAACCUGUUAAAUCAACAAUUAGACCAGAAGUAGAUAGAUGGUUCAAUACACACUAUAACUGAUCAAGAUCAAAGUAGCACAAACCUCAAAAGCAAUCAAGAUCAAGAGACUCAAAUACUAUAAAUUAGCUAGUUUCAUGGAUCAUAAAUGCCUAGUGGUACAAUAAAAAUACUAAAAUACCAAGAGAAUAGAAUGGGCAGUCGAAAUGAAUUCAAAUAAAGAUAGCAAUUAAAAUGAAUUGUUCAUGAAAGAAUAAGAAAUAAGGCAAUUGAACAGCGCAUAUAACAAGUCUCAUAUGUUUAAGGUCAUCAGAUAAAAUAAGAUAUCGGCUGCAUAGGGAAGACUGAGAAAAGAUAUUCCCUCAUAACCUGUAGUUCUCUCAUAUAUAUAUUGAAAAAAAAAAAACGAAAAGGCAACAUGCCUUAAUUUUCGCAUCAAUAAAUAAGAGUAGAUGAACAUUAACAGGUACAUUAGAUGCCCAAUGUGACAGAUAAUCUAUGCAUAUUCCUAAUGUACAGGUUACUGUCAUAACCAAUGAGAAGAAUCAUCAGCUAUAGAGAGCCACAUGAAGUACAGAUAGAGAUCCAAUUAGCAAGACUUUAACAUGAGAACACUGCAAGCAUGUCCUAGAAUUUAACAUUGCAAAUACACCAAGGUAAAUUGGAAUCAGAUUUUAGUUGAUAUCCUGUCAAUGUUGAAAAACCAAAUAAUGGAGAUAAUAAUAUCAAUGACAAGAAGUGAACUUAGAGUAAAUUUACAAGAACAGUAGCAGAAGGAAAGGUCUAUGAGGGAGAGGACACCCUUCUCGAGUCGUGGAUGCGCUGUUUGAACAAUGGCUGUCAUGAUGAUAUUAACAAUCAUCCUUCACAAAACAAACACAAAAGAUGGCUAUUAUAUAAGCAUUCUGUAAUCACUAAAACAACACCUGUAUUUAGAGGGGUUUGUUUUUUGGCACUGCCACAUAGGCAUCAUAUGAUUUAUCAGAAUUAAUAAUGACCAUUAUAACUAUAUUUUUUUCGUAACUCAAAUUUCAAAAUUAACAUUUUUAGGAAACAGUUAGAAAACAAAGAAACAUCAGAGAUGAGAGGCAGCUAUCAUACUAUCAUCCACCAUCCAGUUAGCUACAGUAUAUAUAUGGUAAUAGUAUGAAUGCAUACAAGCAAGCAUGUAAAGCUUAUGUUUACGCCGCCGCUAAGAGCACAUUUCUUAAACAUACCUGCCCUCCCGCUGCACCUUCUUCUGUGUUGUGAAACAUUUUAAACUUAAAAUCUUUUAACUAUUGAUAUGUGACAAAUAAUAUUUUCAUGAUCCCAUCAUUUCAAGCCCAAUUUUUUUUAUAUAACAAAAUUACUAAAAAUGAGGGCAAAACUGCAAUAAUUAUUCGCUAUAACUAACAUCAGUUGUAACUUUUUAGGUAUCAAUUUUUUUUUUUAAAACAGGAAACACAUUAAAGCAAACCCCCGCAAUUUAUUCAAGGUGCUACAAGCAAAUAAUAGACUCAUAGGAUAACACAUGCUAGGCAUUAUUACUAACAACUUUUAUAGAUGAACACUACAAUUAAAUAGCUUAUUGGUUUAGAUUGUUAAAGUUUUUCACAAGUCACAACCAUCAGUUGAAUGAGGAGUAAAUAAUUCAACUAAAUAAUUCUACAUAGAUUUUCAUGGCAAUCAUACUCCUAUGAUCUGUCAGAGUUUUCAUAAAAUGAACAUCAUAUCUUCAUGGAUGACUAAAUUUUAGUGCUUGAAGCCUGACAGAUUCAAAUGGGGAACAAAUACAAGACAUUUUGCACAAUUUACUUUCUUCCUUACUGGAAGAAAUGCCAUGUCUCUGUUUGCAGCCAUCUGCAACAGUGAUAAGCAGGUCACUGUGCAAGACACCUAUGGAUACAUGCAGCCAUCCUAUCACUGAGGUUGUGACUGCUCCACUGACAAUCCUCAGAUUUUUCCGCUAACCAUUUAUAUCCGCUCAAUUGCUUAGCAGAAAACCAUAAGUUGGAAGUCUUCUUCAAAACUAUACGAGCAAUGAUUACAGUCAGCUUACGAUACACAACCAUCUUGGUGCACAAAUGCACGUAGUCAACCCCAUAAAAUUGGACUAAAAUUACUAAUUUCCACAUGCAUGGACCAUCAAGAUUUUUUUUCCUUUACUUGAAUGGUUGAAUCAGAAAGUGAUAUACAGAAAUUUUGUCAGUUCCACUUCACACAAGAACAAUAUGUAAGGCUAGCAUUUUUUACAUGUACGUUGAUGGUUAGGACACAUCUUUGGAUUAAGUGACAGUGAAGUAGACAUUUAGAUGCAAAUUAGCCUUCAAAGUUUUUUUUAGUACCAACUACUAGAACAGUCUAUCAUUAACAAUAUGCAAAUGACCCAUGGGAACUCUAUUGAAUGCUGUUUUACCUUCGGGGCAGCCAUAGGAUACUCUUCAGGCAAGAACAAUUCAAGCUUGAAAACCCCUCCUAUUAAGGCAAAAAAAAGACGAUAUUUCAUAUUAAUAAAAAUCAAAAGACCAAAUUGAUUAAAAAAUACAAUUUAAAUCAUUUUUGCAUAGAUCCAUUCCCUAAAAAGUGCCUCUUUAAUUACAGCUAUCUGAUGGAAGAAAUCGAUAUGUUCAUUCAAUUUCAAUAUUGAGAUCGAUACAAGUGUGGGAAUACAGGACACAAUUUAAUUAUAAGUCAUUGCAUGGAGAUAUCACUAGAAGAACCUAGAAUUAAGAUGCAAGAACCCAUAAAAUAUAGCUCAUCCUUAAUUAAAUUGGAACAUAAUAAACACACGGAAUAACUCAUAUAUAAGUAGAAAUUGUUAUCAUAUGCAAUAUGCAGGGAACACCCAGUGUAAACCAGUGUCAAAAAUAAUAACACAACUAGCGGCCAUCAUAGAUGCAAUAACCAAAAAUGAUUAAGCCUCAUGCGGAAAGAAAGGCAUAUUGACCUUUUCUCCAGAAGGUUGGUUUCAUCAACCCACUUAAGUGGUCCAAAUGCAGAUUAUAUGCAUAGGCUUAAUUGGCCAUACUUUCCAUCUUACAAAAAAAACACUAUAUCAAACUCAAAAUUUACAUGAGAAUUCUUUCAGAAUAUGGUAAUUCUAUAGGAAUUUACUAGAGAUUCAUUACGAGCCCUAGGUAGGUGAAAAUCUAUUUCAAGGAAAAAAAUCAACUAUAUAACUAUGUUUAUACCAAAGCAUCAGAUAUAGAUAAUUGGGUCUUCGGAAGUGCUGGUUCUCAUUCUGAAUCAGAGAGAAGCAAUAUCCAAACCAACUUUCAUAAACUAACAGUUUUUUCAUACAGUUUGAAUCCCACGCAUGGUCUGACGAACCAGCCCGUACCGGCCGGUUCGGACUGGUCCGGCCUGUAACCGGUACGGGCCGAACCCAGCCGAAGCCAGGGAAGACGAAGAGAAGAAGAGAGAGAGAGCAUGGAAGAGAGGGAGGGAGGAGAGGCCUCCGCCGCUUGCGAAAGGCCGUGGGGGGCGGCAGAGCCCGCAGGGGCACGGCAAAGGCCGAGGCCGCGUCCCCUAUUUCUUUCUUUCGAAAAAGGGGACGACAAAAGAAACAGGGACACGGUUGCCGAUUUCACUUAAAAAUCUCCAUUUUUUUUAAUUUGGGGACCGCAGCCUCAACCUUUGUCGCGCCCCCGCGGGCCUCGCCGCCCCCUCCCCGGCCUCCGCCUCCCCCUCGCGGGCGGCCUCUCCUCUCCUCCCUCCCUCCCCCGCUCGCUCUCUUGUUCUCUACUUAUUCCCCGGUUCCGACGGGAAAGAGUGUUCCAGUUCGGUACCGGUUUAAACAGGUCCGAACCGGAACCGUGCUGGUCCACUAGGCAACCGGUAUACCUAACAGUACCGGUACAACGAAUCUUGAUCCCACAUCUUAGCAGCUUCAGAUUUAGAUUGUGAUGGUUUCCCAGUGGAAUUUUACAUUAGGAGAUAGGUUAUUCUACUUAAGGUGUUUCAGCCAAUUCAAAAUCUUGGUCUCACUCCUGCAUCCACCCAUUCUAAUGCUUCCAACUCAUUUUAAUCAAGUAUGUUCUUCUUCCAACAUUAUUUAAUCAAAUUUAAUCUAGUUCAAUACCAUAUGUAACAUCGAUAGUUCAUCUUUCUUUUUUUAAUAUCCAUAAUUUUAUUUUCUUAAAAAGUUUAAAGGGUUGUAGUUAUAUCAUUUUCUAAAAUGUAAUGAGAUCUAACAUAUAAUCUUCCUAGGCACUUCCACUCCCCUUUUCUUCCCUUUUAAGCUCCACUUCCACGCCGCUAAAGUAGCUAACAUCUUUGGCAAAAAAAAAAGAGUAGCUAACGAAGGCAAUUCAGGUCCAGAUUUCUCACUAGCUCUUCAAUAUAUAUGUUCAUCUUAAGUCGCCUAGCAUGUAUUACUUUCCACAAUUAACAAUCAAUGAUACCAGAAUAAUCAAAAUCAUACGUAGAGCUACUAAUGGACUUGGCUUGGGCCACUCACCAUAAGUUCAAUCUUGGCCUGGAUUAAAUGAAGGCAGGCUAUACCUGGCCUGGCCCUGAAAUUCAAUUGUUUUUUUAGGGUUUAGCCCUAGGCAUGGCAUGGCCCUAAAUGAUUAGACGCAAGCCUGAUUCGGCCCAAGGCCUAAUUACAAUUUCCAUAGAUAGAUUCAUAUCUAAAAGAAGUUGAAAAUAAGUUCUUUCAAAAUUGACUAUUUGUUCUUCUGUUAGAGGUGCUGCAGAAAUGUCUGUGAUCAAGUAAAUAGCUGUACGAACGAAUGGACCGGAUAAAAAAUGGAAAGAUUCGUACAAGUUAAACAUUUCGCCAACAAUCAUUGCUCAUCCCUCCGAAACCUAUUGAUAAGGAAUGCAUUGAAGUGUAUUAAAUAAUAGGGUUUUUUGCAUGGAUACCCCCUUCUAAAUAUCGAAUUUUGCGUGAAUACCCUUUCAAAAUUGAUAUUUGCAUGUAUACCCUCGUAAAACUCGGUUAUUGUACAAAUACCCCUAAUAUAACAGUUGUUUUAACGGUGUUAAAAAAAUCAUAUUUAUAUUAAUUAAAAAUAAAAUAAAAUUUUAAACUGACGUUACUAU